RNAcentral lists this ribosomal RNA (440 nucleotides) under uncultured bacterium. RNAcentral's name for it is "partial 16S ribosomal RNA". It matches the Rfam family "Bacterial small subunit ribosomal RNA", at positions 338 to 795 of the family's 1533-position model. The record is from RNAcentral.
CCUACAGGGGGCAGCAGUGGGGAAUAUUGGACAAUGGAGGAAACCCUGAUGCAGCGACGCCGCGUGAGGGAAGAAGUAUUUAGGUACGUAAAGCUCUAUCAGCAGGGAAGAAAAUGAAGGUACGUGAAUCAGAAGCCCAGGCUAACUACGUGCCAGCAGCCGCGGUAAUACGUAGGGGGCAAGCGUUAUCCGGAUGUACUGGGUGUAAAGGGAGCGUAGGCGGCCGCGGAAGUCUGAAGUGAAAUCCCAUGGCUUAACCAUGGAACUGCUUUGGAAACUGUGCAGCUGGAGUGCAGGCGGGGUAGGCGGAAUGUCUAGUGUAGCGGUGAAAUGCGUAGAUAUUAGACGGAACACCAGUGGCGAAGGCAGCUUACUGAACUGUAACUGACGUUGAGGCUCGAAAGCGUGGGGAGCAAACAGGAUUAGAUACCCCAGUAGUC